This is a long non-coding RNA of Scylla paramamosain (green mud crab), 3212 nucleotides long. RefSeq lists it as uncharacterized. The record is from RefSeq and is a predicted model, not a curated record. Lineage: Eukaryota; Metazoa; Arthropoda; Malacostraca; Decapoda; Portunidae. The transcript has 5 exons.
GGAGGAAGAGGAAGAGGAAGGAGGAGGAGGAGGAGGAGGAGGAGGAGGAGGAGGAGGGUUAGGUGUGGCCCUCCCUCCCCCUCCCACACCACUGCAGUCCCAGCCUCUGAUUGGCCAGACCUCAGCCAAUCAGGAGAGAGACUUUAUGGCCUUGCAGGUGGAGGAAGGCCGAAGGGAACUGGAGGAGGAGAGAAAGAGACACAGGCUGGAGGUUGAAAACAUAAGGUCUAGAUUUAGAAUGAUGACAACGACCACAGCCACCACCAGCACCUCCCCCACUAGCCUGCCUUUCUCUUCAAGUCCCAGCGAGGAGCACCCGCCCUCCUCCCCACCCUCCUCUCUCAACAGAUGGGAGGUGAGAGGGAGAGAAAGAGACAAAGAGAGAAAGAGGGAGAGGACACCCACAAUUCACACUGGAAAUGUUCUGUCUUACUUUAAUGCCUCUCUUUAAUUCCUCAGGGCCUGGACAGACUGAGAGAGGAACUGAUGAAAGAGAGAGAGAGAUAGAGAUUGAAGAGAGAAUUGCAAGUGUAAGAGAGGAAGAAAGGAGGAAAUUAGAUGACGAAAAACAGAUGGAGUUUGCAGAAGCAGUGAAAGCUUUGGCGCAGGACAAGGAAAGGGUUAUUGAAGAUUUGAAGAUUAGGAUUCAGCUUCUAACAGAUGAGUGUGACAGAAGAAGAGGAGGAGGAGGAGGAAGGGAAAAAUGUUGGAGGACAGAUAUUGCAAGAAAAUGUUGAAUUGAAGAAUCAGAUCACCUCACUGCAGAAAAAAGUCAGAAAUUUGGAAACUGAACUGGCAAGAGCAAAACGGUUUUCAUUUGUGACGCAGCAGAGCACCACCACCACCACUGCCACCACCGCCACCGCUGCUGCCGCUGCCACCGACAUGACGGCCUCCACAGCCUCAAUGACUGUUAAUGAAGACACAAGAGAGAAUUUGCCACACCAAGCCAGCCCACUCCUGUCUCAUGGUACCAUCGCCUUUAAUUCCUGCCAGACUGGGGACACUGUGUUGGUGCUUUAGGGUGCACUACAUGGCCACUACAAAGUGUUGCAGGAAGGUGUCUCCUCACAACACUUGCAUUUCCUACACUCUGAUGCUUACAACUUGCUGGGAUUCACCAAAGGUGAGUGUGUGUGUGUGUGUGUGUGUGUGUGUGUGUGUGAGUAAGUGUGACUUGCUGGCCAGAGAUGCUUAGCCUUGUUUUCAAGAGCGUUUCUUCCGUCAGUAAUGCAGAAAUGUUGUUAAUCUGUUACUGCAACUGUAAAAACACUCUUGAAAUUCUGUAUCACUUCAACUACAGCCUUUUAAAAGAGUGUUUCUCCUGUCAGUAAUGGAGAAAUGCUGUUAAUCUGUCACUGCAACUGUAAAAACACCCUUGAAAACCCACAUCACUUCAAGAAGAGCCUUUUAAAAGAGUAUUUCUCCUGUCAGUAAUGCAGAAAUGGUUAAUCUGUUGCUGCAACUCUAAAAACACCCUUGAAAACCUGCAUCACUUUAACUACAGCCUUUUAAAAGAGUGUUUCUCCUGUCAUUAAUGCAGAAAUGUUGUUAAUCUGUCACUGCAACUGUAAAAACAUCCUUGAAAACCUGUGUCACUUCAACUAGAGCCUUUUAAAAGAAUGUUUUUCCUGUCAGUAUUGCAGAAAUGUUAUUAAUCUGUCACUGCAACUGUAAAAACACCCUUGAAAACCCGCGUCACUUCAACUAGAGCCUUUUAAAAGUGUGUUUCUCCUGUCAGUAAUGUAGAAAUGUUGUUAAUCUGUCACUGCAACUGUAAAAACACCCUUGAAAACCUGCAUCACUUCAACUCCAGUCUUUGCAAACUAGUGGAGGUGCGGCCAGAAAUUUUGUAAAAUAUAUUCUUGUGUAUGUGUGUGUGUGUGUGUGUGUGUGUGUGUGUGUGUGUGUGUGUGUGUGUGUGUGUGUGUGUGUGUGUGUGUGUGUGUGUGUGUGUGUGUGUGUGUGUGUGUGUGUGUGUGUGUGUGUGUGUGUGUAGAUAGAUAGAUGGACAAACAGACAAACAGACAGACUAUUUAUCUCCAUGUUUGAGUGACUGACAGGCUGGCAGGCUGGCUGGCUAACUGACUGACUGACUGACUGACUGACUGACUGACUAAGUGACUGACUGACUAAGUGACUGACUGGUGGCUGGCUGGCUGGCUGGCUAACUGACUGACUGAAUGACUGGCUAGCUGGCUGGCUGGCUGGCUGGACAAUAUAAAUUAAGCUGGCUGGCUGGCUGGCUGGACAAUAUAAAUUAAGCUGGCUGGCUGGCUGGCUGACUAACUGUCUGGCUGGCUGGCUGGCUGGCUUGCUGGCUGCCCAGCUGACUAACUAACUGGCUGGCUGGCUGGAUGACUGACUGACUAAAUGACUGACUGGCUGUCUGUCUGGCUGGCUGGCUGGCUGGGUGGCUGGCUGGCUGGCUGGCUGACUGACUGACUGACUGACUGACUGACUGACUAAGUGACUGACUGACUGACUGACUGACUGACUGACUGACUGACUGACUGACUGACUAAGUAAGUGACAGACUGACUGACUGAUUGACUGACUAAGUGACUGACUGACUGAUUGGCUGGCUGGCUGGCUGACUGACUGACUGAUUUACUAGCUGGCUGAAUGACUGAUUGACUGACUAAGUGACUGACUAAGUGACUGACUGACUGACUGACUGACUGACUGACUGUGUGGCUGGAUGACUGACUGACUGACUGACUGUGUGGCUGGCUGACUGACUGACUGACUGACUGACUGACUGACUGACUGACUGACUGACUAGAUGACUGACUGACUAAGUGACUGACUGACUGACUGACUGACUGACUGACUGACUGUGUGGCUGGCUGACUGACUGACUAACUGACUGACUGACUGACUGACUGACUGACUGACUGACUGACUGACUGUGUGGCUGACUGACUGACUGACUGACUGACUGACUGACUGACUGACUGACUGACUGACUGUGUGGCUGGCUGACUGACUGACUGACUGACUGACUGACUGACUGACUGACUGACUGUGGCUGGCUGACUGACUGACUGACUGACUGACUGACUGACUGACUGACUGACUGGCUGGCUGGCUGGCUGGCUGGGUGACUGACUGACUAACUGACUGACUGACUGACUGACUCGCUGACUGACUGACAGUGACUCGCUGAAUGAUUGACUAAUGAACAAAAAUGAACACACACACACACACAC